GACGAACGCUGGCGGCGUGCUUAACACAUGCAAGUCGAGCGGUAAGGCCCUUCGGGUGCACGAGCGGCGAACGGGUGAGUAACACGUGGGUGACCUGCCUCUAGCUCUGGGAUAAGCCUGGGAAACUGGGUCUAAUACCGGAUAUGACUCCACGGCGCAUGUUGUGGGGUGGAAAGCCUUGUGUGGCUAGAGAUGGGCCCGCGGCCUAUCAGCUUGUUGGUGGGGGAUGGCCUACCAAGGCGACGACGGGUAGCCGGCCUGAGAGGGCGACCGGCCACACUGGGACUGAGACACGGCCCAGACUCCUACGGGAGGCAGCAGUGGGGAAUCUUGCGCAAUGGGCGAAAGCCUGACGCAGCGACGCCGCGUGAGGGAUGACGGCCU
This 384-nucleotide ribosomal RNA is filed under the name uncultured bacterium. Its description in RNAcentral is "bacterial SSU rRNA". It matches the Rfam family "Bacterial small subunit ribosomal RNA", at positions 28 to 417 of the family's 1533-position model. The record is from RNAcentral.